UACGUAGGGGGCAAGCGUUGUCCGGAUUUAUUGGGCGUAAAGAGCGUGUAGGCGGCCAAGCAGGUCCGCUGUGAAAACUCGAGGCUCAACCUCGAGACGUCGGUGGAAACCGUUUGGCUAGAGUCCGGAAGAGGAGAGUGGAAUUCCAGGUGUAGCGGUGAAAUGCGUAGAUAUCUGGAGGAACACCGGUGGCGAAGGCGGCAUCCUGGACCGGUAUUGACGCUGAGGCGCGAAAGCCAGGGGAGCAAACGGG
This 253-nucleotide ribosomal RNA is filed under the name uncultured bacterium. RNAcentral's name for it is "partial 16S ribosomal RNA". It matches the Rfam family "Bacterial small subunit ribosomal RNA", at positions 524 to 776 of the family's 1533-position model. The record is from RNAcentral.